This 468-nucleotide ribosomal RNA is filed under the name uncultured bacterium. Its description in RNAcentral is "partial 16S ribosomal RNA". It matches the Rfam family "Bacterial small subunit ribosomal RNA", at positions 28 to 507 of the family's 1533-position model. The record is from RNAcentral.
GACGAACGCUGGCGGCGUGCUUAACACAUGCAAGUCGAACGGAAAGGCGCUGCUUUUGUUGCGUGCUCGAUUGGCGAACGGGUGAGUAAAACAUGAGUAACAUCCCCUUAACUUUGUGAUAUCUCUAGGAAACUGGGGCUAUUACCGGGUAUGAGCUCCUGCAGCAUGUGGGGGGUUGGAAAGAUUCGGCGGUGGGGGCUUGACUCGCUGCUUCUCCGCUGGAUGGUGGGGUAGUGGCUUUCCAAGCCUAUGAAGGGUAGCCUGCAUAAGAGGGUGACCGGCCACAAUGGUCCUGCGGUAGGGCCCAGAAUCCUACGGGAGGCAGCAGUGGGGAAUAUUGCAGAAUGGGCGGAAGCCUGAUGCAGCAACGCCGCGUGCGGGAUGCCGGCUUUCGGGUUGUAAACCGAUUUCGCAUGUGACGAAGCCUGCGUGACGGUAAUGGGUCAAGAAGCACCGGCUAACUACGUG